This 473-nucleotide ribosomal RNA is filed under the name uncultured bacterium. RNAcentral describes it as "bacterial SSU rRNA". It matches the Rfam family "Bacterial small subunit ribosomal RNA", at positions 355 to 825 of the family's 1533-position model. The record is from RNAcentral.
UGGGGAAUAUUGGACAAUGGGCGCAAGCCUGAUGACGCAACGCCGCGUGGGGGAUGAAGGUCUUCGGAUCGUAAACCCCUGUCGAAUGGGACGAAAGACUCGCGAGUGAAUACUUCGCGAGAGUGACGGUACCGUUAAAGGAAGCCACGGCUAACUCUGUGCCAGCAGCCGCGGUAAUACAGAGGUGGCAAGCGUUGUUCGGAAUUACUGGGCGUAAAGGGCGCGUAGGCGGCAUGACAAGUCACUUGUGAAAUCUCUGGGCUUAACCCAGAACGGCCAAGUGAUACUGUCGCGCUAGAGUGCAGAAGGGGCAAUCGGAAUUCUUGGUGUAGCGGUGAAAUGCGUAGAUAUCAAGAGGAACACCUGAGGUGAAGACGGGUUGCUGGGCUGACACUGACGCUGAGGCGCGAAAGCCAGGGGAGCAAACGGGAUUAGAUACCCCAGUAGUCCCUGAGCGGGCUGGCAAGGCGCAU